This 460-nucleotide ribosomal RNA is filed under the name uncultured bacterium. RNAcentral describes it as "partial 16S ribosomal RNA". It matches the Rfam family "Bacterial small subunit ribosomal RNA", at positions 338 to 795 of the family's 1533-position model. The record is from RNAcentral.
CCUACGGGUGGCAGCAGUGAGGAAUAUUGGUCAAUGGGCUUACGCCUGAACCAGCCAAGUCGCGUGAGGGAAGACUGCCCUACGGGUUGUAAACCUCUUUUGUCAGGGAGCAAAUGGCGCUACGUGUACCGUUAUCGGGAGUACCUGAAGAAAAAGCAUCGGACAACUCCGUGCCAGCAGCCGCGGUAAUACGGAGGAUGCGAGCUUUACCCGGAUUUUUUGGGUUUAAGGGGUGAGCAGGCGGCAUGACAAGUCGGCGGUAAAAGCGCGGGGCUAAACCCCGCUCAGCCGUUGAAACUGGCGGUCUGGAGUGGGCGAGAAGUAUGCGGAAUGCGUGGUGUAGCGGUGAAAUGCAUAGAUAUCGCGCAGAACUCCGAUUGCGAAGGCAGCAUACCGGCGCCCAACUGACGCUGAGGCACGAAAGCGUGGGUAUCGAACAGGAUUAGAUACCCCUGUAGUC